This 499-nucleotide ribosomal RNA is filed under the name uncultured bacterium. Its description in RNAcentral is "bacterial SSU rRNA". It matches the Rfam family "Bacterial small subunit ribosomal RNA", at positions 28 to 517 of the family's 1533-position model. The record is from RNAcentral.
GAUGAACGCUAGCGGCAGGCUUAACACAUGCAAGUCGAGGGGCAGCAUAAACAUUGCUUGCAAUGUUUGAUGGCGACCGGCGCACGGGUGCGUAACGCGUAUGCAACCUACCCAUAACAGGGGGAUAACACUGAGAAAUUGGUACUAAUACCCCGUAAUAUUAUGAAAGGCAUCUUUUAUAGUUGAAAGUUCCGGCGGUUAUGGAUGGGCAUGCGUUGUAUUAGCUAGUUGGUGAGGUAACGGCUCACCAAGGCGACGAUACAUAGGGGGACUGAGAGGUUAACCCCCCCACAUUGGUACUGAGACACGGACCAAACUCCUACGGGAGGCAGCAGUGAGGAAUAUUGGUCAAUGGUCGAAGGACUGAACCAGCCAUGCCGCGUGAAGGUGACGGCCCUAUGGGUCUUAAACUUCUUUUGUAAGGGAGCAAUAAGGUCUACGUGUAGACUGAUGAGAGUACCUUACGAAUAAGCAUCGGCUAACUCCGUGCCAGCAGCCG